RNAcentral lists this ribosomal RNA (1030 nucleotides) under Clostridioides difficile. Its description in RNAcentral is "bacterial SSU rRNA". The stretch from base 389 to 1030 matches the Rfam family "Bacterial small subunit ribosomal RNA", at positions 874 to 1520 of the family's 1533-position model. The record is from RNAcentral. Lineage: Bacteria; Bacillati; Bacillota; Clostridia; Peptostreptococcales; Peptostreptococcaceae.
AGAAUUACCUACUGUUUAAUUUUGAAAGUUUUUUACGAACUUUAUAUAUGGGGGUGUAGCUCAGUUGGGAGAGCACUUGCCUUGCAAGCAAGGGGUCAGGAGUUCGACUCUCCUCAUCUCCACCAUUUAAGAGUAUAUUACUUAAAUCUUUGAUUUACUUAGUAGCCUCUUACAAUGCACUUAUAGCUUAAAUUUAUACAGGCUUUGUGCGUUAGCACUUUAAGCAACAGAAUAAACUGAACACAUGUGAAGUUUGUUUGUUGGCGCUGUGCGUUAGCACUUUGAAAACUGCAUAUAUAUAUUUAGUGAUAUGACAUCUAAUUUGUAAUAUAUAAAGCUGAUAACUUUUUAAAAUUAUCGAAGUUGAUAGCUUCUAAUCUAUCAAACCUUUUUAACUGGUCAAGUUAUUAAGGGUGCAAUUGACGGGGACCCGCACAAGUAGCGGAGCAUGUGGUUUAAUUCGAAGCAACGCGAAGAACCUUACCUAAGCUUGACAUCCCAAUGACAUCUCCUUAAUCGGAGAGUUCCCUUCGGGGACAUUGGUGACAGGUGGUGCAUGGUUGUCGUCAGCUCGUGUCGUGAGAUGUUGGGUUAAGUCCCGCAACGAGCGCAACCCUUGUCUUUAGUUGCCAUCAUUAAGUUGGGCACUCUAGAGAGACUGCCAGGGAUAACCUGGAGGAAGGUGGGGAUGACGUCAAAUCAUCAUGCCCCUUAUGCUUAGGGCUACACACGUGCUACAAUGGGUAGUACAGAGGGUUGCCAAACCGUAAGGUGGAGCUAAUCCCUUAAAGCUACUCUCAGUUCGGAUUGUAGGCUGAAACUCGCCUACAUGAAGCUGGAGUUACUAGUAAUCGCAGAUCAGAAUGCUGCGGUGAAUGCGUUCCCGGGUCUUGUACACACCGCCCGUCACACCACGGGAGUUGGAGACGCCCGAAGCCGAUUAUCUAACCUUUUGGAAGAAGUCGUCGAAGGUGGAAUCAAUAACUGGGGUGAAGUCGUAACAAGGUAGCCGUAUCGGAAGGUGCGGCUG